UCGCGGCUUAUCACCGGCAGUCCCCUUAGAGUGCCCAACUGAAUGCUAGCAACUAAGGGCGAGGGUUGCGCUCGUUGCGGGACUUAACCCAACAUCUCACGACACGAGCUGACGACAGCCAUGCACCACCUGUGAUCCUGCCCCGAAGGGAAACCGUGUUUCCACGGCGGUCAGGAACAUGUCAAACCCAGGUAAGGUUCUUCGCGUUGCGUCGAAUUAAACCACAUGCUCCGCUGCUUGUGCGGGUCCCCGUCAAUUCCUUUGAGUUUUAGCCUUGCGGCCGUACUCCCCAGGCGGGGCGCUUAAUGCGUUAGCUACGGCGCGGGAAACCGGAGAGGCCCCCCACACCUAGCGCCCAACGUUUACAGCGUGGACUAC
Molecule: unclassified non-coding RNA, 378 nt
Filed under: uncultured Actinomycetes bacterium
Lineage: Bacteria; Bacillati; Actinomycetota; Actinomycetes
Description: uncultured actinobacterium contains 16S-23S intergenic spacer region
Source: RNAcentral